GUAGGGUCCAAGCGUUAUCCGGAUUUACUGGGCGUAAAGUGUUCCGUAGGCGGGUGGGUUCAAGUAUGUCGUCAAAGCCCGAGGCUCAACUUCGGAAAGGCGAUGUAAACUGAAUCACUUGAGGAUGUUAGGGAGUGCUGGAAUUCAUGGUGAAGGGGUGAAAUCCGUUGAUAUCAUGAAGAACACCGAGGGCGAAGGCAGGCACUUAAGACAUUCCUGACGCUGAUGGACGAAAGCUAGGGUAGCAAAAGGGAUUAGAGACCCCUGUAGUCCUAGCCGUAAACGAUCCUUACUAGAUGCCUGAAUUUAUUUGGGUGUCGUAAGCUAACGCGUUAAGUAAGGCGCCUGGGGAGUACGACCGCAAGGUUA
This 369-nucleotide ribosomal RNA is filed under the name uncultured organism. Its description in RNAcentral is "partial 16S ribosomal RNA". It matches the Rfam family "Bacterial small subunit ribosomal RNA", at positions 527 to 896 of the family's 1533-position model. The record is from RNAcentral.